Long non-coding RNA from Homo sapiens (human), 786 nucleotides. RefSeq lists it as uncharacterized. The record is from RefSeq and is a predicted model, not a curated record. The transcript has 4 exons. Lineage: Eukaryota; Metazoa; Chordata; Mammalia; Primates; Hominidae.
CUUUUUUGUUUUGUCUAUUUUUUCUUGAUUGAAGAUUGAGUUAUCCAAGCCUACAUGACAAAUCAUGAUUUACCUUUAUAUUUGUUUAAAGAUUUCACAUAUGCCACCAUUUUUUGCCACUAAGUCUUAAACUCAGAAAACACUCUGAGACACUUGGAUAAUUUCUAGAUAAAGCUGUUGCUCAAUGAAUGCCACUUUUAAAAUUCAAAAUAUAUUCUAAUUUCUGCAGUAGGCCAAAGGAAUAAUAAGUGUGGGGCCAGAGGCACUUUCUAUGGAGUAUUGACUAAGAGAACAAGAAUGAAAUUGAAAGACGGGGAAGCUAUCAGUGAAAAUACACUGUUCCUGGGCCCGAAACUAACUGGAUAUAUGGAUGCAAGCAAAAUCUUUGGCCAAGGUCUGCUGGAGUUUGCUGGAGGUCCACUCAAGACCCCGUUUGCCUGGGUAUUACCAGCAGAGGCUGCAGAACAACCAAGAUUGCUGCCUGUUCCUACCUCUGGAAGGUUCAUCCCAGAGGGUCACCCACAAGUUGCCAGCCAGAGCUCUUCUCCAUGAGGACAUGAGUAUCCUGCAGAAGCCAGGUCUUUCAUCAAAGAGUUCAACACACAUUGGCCUAUGAGUCAGAGAAACUGAAGGAGGAUACAAGGCAAGGUAGAGCAAUUGCAGACACGGCUGCUGCUUCACACCAAUGAGGACCCAGCAUUCAAGGCACCAUCUUGGAAGCAGAUAUAGACCUUUAUCAGACAAGGAACCUGCCUAUGUGUUGUUCUUGGAUUACAAAGCCUUCAG